AACACGAGCCCAAAUUCAUCGCGCUCAAUUUGGUUAUCCAAUCAGAUCCGGUGAGCCCAAUAAUUGGUUCCAAUUCCGACCCAAUAAAAAAAUAAUAAAAACUUAUCUUUUUCCUAGCAGCGCCCAAAAUUUUCAUUUUUUUACCCCCAAAAUAUAGCGCCUCCCCGUCUGAAAAAUUAAUCUUUAAAAAAAAAAAAUUUCCACCGGACGACGGCUCGAGUGUUUUCUCUCUCCUCGGAAUCGAUCGAUUCGCAAUAAAAUUGAGAUUGGAUCCAAUCUGAUCGAGCAAUGGCGAAACCCUUGGUUACGGAGAGAACUAGGGUUUGGCUUUUCGUCUUCUGAUUGGUCCUCGAUUAGGGUUUUUCUUUAUCCGUUCCUUUUCCACUCAUUGAUCUUCGAUCAAUCCAAUUUUGAUGCUGGAGCUUCUGGAUAUCUCGCUGCAGUCGUCACAUUUGUUUGGUGCGCUUGGAGGUCUGGAUUUGGAUUGGUUUAAGCGGGAAGCAGGUUGUGAUAAUUGGAAUUGGGGUAUUGAUUUGAUCUUUGAAUUGGCUUUGUAUGAUUUCUGGUCGUUUUUGUGAAGUUAGAGUUUGAGCUGAGUAGUUGCUAGUGUUCGAGGUUUGGUGACUGAGGUUUUGUUAUUCAAUGCUUCAAUAGCUUAAGCUUAGUAAUGUCCUAUGUGUAUUUGUUUUGAAUGAUUUUACUAAAAUUCACCAACUAUAUGUAGCACUGACAUUAACAAUGUAUUAUUGCAUUCUGCAUUUGAUUUCAUUAUGUGGGAAGGGGAUGCUAUUAUGAAUAUUUAAGAGUUCCACGUAAAUUUGGACGUGGGUUCUUAUGAUUGAUUCAGUUUAAUAUGGCGGGGAGCAUGAGAGCUGAAUUGGCUUCGAGCAGUCUCAAUGGAAUAAGCUUUGCUUCUGUCCAUCCAAAUGGGCAGCGGGGAAAUUACUCUACCUCGAAUUUGGAUAGGUCUGGGAGUUCUCGUGAGAGUAUAGAGAAUCGAAUGAUGGUUUCCGGGCAAAUAGGAUCAAGAAAUGCUGAAACUGUUCCAGUUUCUCAGUAUAUGUCACUAGAGCCUUUCCCCAUUAAUGGGCUGAGGAACGUUCGAUCGGGGGAGUUGAGGAGAGUUCUUGGAAUUUCUGUUGAGGACCAUCCAUUUGGAUCCUUGCAAUCAAAGCCCCUUCCCCCUGUAUCCUGGGAUGAGCUUAAACGAUUCAGAAGAUGCAUUGAUGAGAAUCAUUCGAGGGCAGAAGAGAGGUCAGAAUUACUGCAAAAUUCUAUAGUGAAACUGGAUAAGCUUCGCAACAUUGUCAUGAAGAAGAGACAACGGACUGAUAUGCAAUCAAACGAGAAGUCGAGUAAUUCGAGUCUAUUGAAGGUAGGGAAUCAGAUGCACCAAAAUCCUUCUGAUCUUGAAGAUCAAAGACCGGAAGAAAGGACAAAAUCUGGUAAUCUUAGUGAGCGGGUACGCUCAUCGAUGGCAGAUGCUCGGGUGUCUUUACCUUAUUCUCUUCAACAAGAGGGCCGCAACACUAUUGCUGUGAGACAAGGCACGUUGAUCGACAAGGAUAAAAUCAUCCAUGUUGACAAGGAUAAAAGUAUGCUGAGGGCUUGCAAUGGGUUUCCGGUGUCCGCUGAUGACAAGAUGCAUGGUCUGGCCGCUGGAGGGGAAGGAUGGGACAAAAGGAAUAAACGAAAACGUUCUGUUGGUACAAUGGUUUACAGAACUAGUCUAGAUGGUGAUCGUGAAAUCAAAAAGGCAAUUCAACAAAAGCCGAGUAAUGAACCCCGUCCACGAUCUGGUGAUGGUCUUGGCUUCAGGACUGGAUUAUCUAAUGGAAUCAUCGGAAGUAAUAAGAUGGAUGAAAUCUCUCAAAUGACUGGCCAUGGUUCCCGCAUCAUGCCAAGAAAUGACUCGGGCAAUGGGCGUCUUUCGAGUGAUAGAAAGGAAUACUCCUCUGUGCUUGAUAAGGAGCAAGUCACUGCUAAAGGGAGCAAAAAGCUGAAUAUCUGUGAGGAUGCUCAAGUAGGAAGUCAGCGUCCUUCAGCGAAAGGAAAAGCUGUCAGAGCUCCAAGAAGUGGUUCAAGUAUUGUAAUAAACAUGCCUAAUCUUCCCUGUCCUCCAGAGGAUGGAUCGGAGCAGCCUUCUUGCUCGAACAAAGUCCAGUCCUUUUCUGGUUCAAGUAAUCGUAAACGACCUCUAUCAGCAGGAUCUUCUUCACCUCCUGUAGCUGCUAGGUGGGGAGGUCAACGCAGGGAAAAGAUCUCUCGAACUAGAAGAGCAAAUGUAGUUUCUCCAGUGUCAAAUAUUGACGACUCUGAGGCUGAGGGCUCUGCAGGUCUCGACUUUGUAGCCAGGUUAUCAAAUAUAGACUCCCGAGGGGUAUUGGUCAGCAGGGGCAUACCAAAUGACACCCUUUUAAACAUAAAACUAGAAAAUGUACCAUCUCCUUCUACCCCAUCUGAAAGUGAGGAAUCUGUUGCCGUUGAGAGCAAGUCCAAAGAGAGAGGACAUGACAAUGGUGAAUUCGAGGAUGGGGCACUAAAUGCAUAUCAUAAAGCUGCAACUUUUGUUUUGACUAGAAAAAAGAACAAGGUCCCUCCUAGAGAAGAAAUUGGAGAUGGAGUUCGGAGGCAAGUCCGAAGUGGAAGAGGUUCAAUACAGUCAAAAGCUUGUUUACAAUCAAGCAACGGAAAGCUGGAAAGCUCAGAAAGUGCCAAGCCACUCAAAAGUGGGAGGCUUGUUUCUGAUAAGAGUGAAAGACUGUGCAGUAGGAUUGGCCGUCCUCCCUCAAAGAAGAUAUCAGAUCGCAAGAUUUCUGCACGUCCUCUGCCAAUUAUAAACAAUGGCUCCUCAAAAUUUACUGGCGAAUGUAAUGAUGAUCUUGAAGAAUUAUUAGCAGCUGCGAAAUAUGUCCGAGAUGCCUACUGGUUACAAAAGUCUGGGCCAUUUUGGGCGAAAGUGGAACCAAUAUUUGCUUCAGUCAGUUCAGAGGAUUCUUCCCUCCUGAGGCAUCAGAUAAAUUUUGCUGAGGAGCUUGACAGAAGUUUCUCUAAUAUGUUUGACAUUAGCUAUAAUGUGGUAGAGGAUAUGUACCAAGUGGUGCCACAUGACAUGUCUCAACCAGCCAGCCAAACAAAUUUUGUUGGACUGACCAAGUCUGAAGGAACUAGGCGUUCAGCUGACGAGUCCCGACCAGUUAAAGCCACACCUGGAGAAAUAGACACAGAGAGAUGGUUUGAGAGAGUGAUUCCUCUAUCACAGAGGCUUCUUUCUGCCUUAAUUUCGGAGGAAGGAACCAAUAUGGCUGACUGCAAUUCUAAACAAGAAGAUACAUUUUUGCAGUUCUCAAGUGAUUGUUGCCCCUAUGAAAUAGCUAGCUUUGGGGAAAACAAGCCUGGGUAUGAUCUUACUAAAUGCGGUUCGGAGUUUGACAAUGAUUUGCGGAGCCAGACAAACUGCUAUGGAGAUAAUACAUCUUGCAACGGGUUUGUAUCUCCCAGCACCACCUUUAGGAGCCUGAGCAACUUUAUAUCUGAAAACGAGCUGUUUCAAGAUAAGAAUGAGCUGGUGCAUCCAGAUAAUGAAGGUGUAAUCUCUCUCUGUAAAUUCGAGCAAGAUAACUUGAAGCAGCAAGAAAUCAUGGAUACAAGUUUACCAGGCAUGUCUUCACAUCAAUGCCAAUAUGUGCACAUGUCUUUGGAUGACAAGAUCUUGAUGGAACUCCACAGCAUAGGCAUAUAUCCGGAUGCUGAGCCUGAUCUUGCUAAGGGAAGUAGUCAUGAGAUUGAUAAAGCUGUUUCAGAACUCAAGAUCAGGCUUUACCAACAGGUGCAAAACACUAAAAAUCAGUUAUGCAAAUUGGAGAAAGUGAUUCAGGAACAGAAGGAAAGUGAGAUGAGGAACCUUGAACGGCUUGCCAUGGACCAACUUGUUAUCUUGGCUCAUGGAAAACUUGUGGGUGGUCGGGGAACUCGUGGUUCGGGCCCUAAAAGUGGUGCUAACAAGAUUUCUAAACAACUUGCUGAUGCCUUUGCGAAGCGAAUUCUUACCAUAUGCAAGAAAUUUGAGGAAACAGGUCAAAGUUACUUCAGUGAACUUCCCUUAAGGGAUGUGCUAUUGUCUAAACCUGUGCUCAACAUUGACAACAAAAGUGUUCAUGGCCUGACCACUGAGACAACACCCAGUAUGAAUGUAGAUUCACUUAGCUCUCAAGUUGGUUCUUGUGUAUCUGCUUCUGGUGUCUCAUCCAAUAUGAUUGAGAGACAUGGGCCCAUUCAUAAGAUUGACAAAAGUCAAUUGGAUCCAUAUUAUGGUCUCACUCAACCUUCUGAACAAGUUUUUGUUAGAAAUGACAAUAUGUCAAACAGAGGGAAGAAGAAUGAGGUACUACUUGAUGAUGUUGUUAUAGGUGUGUCGGGUUCGAAAGCCAUGCCAGCUGUUAAUGCUCUUCCAGGCGGUGUGAAAUUGAAGAAAACUGAUAAGGAUCAAAAUGGAGAUAUGUUAAUAAAGAACUCUCCUCCAAAAGGUAGCCAUUCAACAUUAAGCAUUGCCAAGGGUGAGCGUAAGACGAAAGCGAAGCCGAAGCAAAAGAUAGCACAGUUAUCAAAUUCUGGGAAUGGCCUUGGCAGAGUAAUGGAAACAACCAAUAGGUUGCAUUCUAUGCGGGAAUCUUGUGAAAAUGUAAAUGCUGGCAACACCAAAAUGAAAACAGAAGUGGAAUUGGCUCCAUCGCCUAAGGCUCAGGAUUUAUCGAAGGUGACAGAAGAUAAUACAUUCACAAACAUUCCUCUGCAGGGGAUAGACUCCAUUAAUGAGUUAGAUGUAGCUGAGGGGCUGGGGGAACAAGGUCAAGAUAUUGGUUCCUGGUUGAAUGUCGAUGAUGAUGCACUACUGGACAUGGAUCUAGUGGGCCUAGAAAUUCCCAUGGAUAACCUUUCAGAUUUGAAUUUUUAAGGAGACAACUAUAUCUUUUGUGCAUAUUCCAGAGUCUAAAUCAAUGUGCUUGUAGUUUUGCCAUGAUACAAACUAACUACCCAAACAUCUACGUGAAGCAGACUAGAAAUUGUAACUAGUUAGAUGUGCAGUCUGAUGUCCAUUGGCAGUUCCUUAGUUUAAUGGGGAUCACAAAGUAGCCUGAAGCAGGCGUGAAGUAACCUGGAGCAAGCGUAAGGAAAUUGUUCACAUCCAAAACUAGAUAGUUGAAAUGUUAGACAAUAUCUGCCUGAUAUGAUUUUGAUGUUAUGGUGGGUUAUCUGUAGAUGCAGCCCCUGUACUAUGGAGGUGUAGCUACUUGUCACCUCUGUUCUAUUCUAUUAACACAUAUCCGCUGACCCUCAUGAUAGCAUGAUCUUCCCAUUAUGUCUUUUAAUUCACGGGAAUCAUGUAAUGGUCAGAGUUGAAUUUUUGCCAAGAAUAUGCCCUAUUGUGAAAUGUGAAUAUGAGCUUACUUGUACUUGUAUCAGAAGAAGCCCCAGGUACAUGUAUGGUAAAGUGGAAAGACGUAGACAGAGUGUUCUUCUGAUUGUAGUGCCUUAGCUUUGGGAGAAUGCAUUUGCACUAUGCAAUGACCAGUGUUUAUGUAUCAGAUGCAUUCUGAAGUUGAUUAUGGAGUAGGAGGGUGACUUCUGUCCGAGUCGUUCAUUUCAGGCAUUGAGCAAGAGGUACUGCAGCGUUACUGCCUUAUACGUAAUUUGGCGUAUUGCCUAAGAGAAACUUCAAUAUUCAUAUUUCUCUCCCUCCAGUAGUGUUACGAAGAGUUACUACCCGAGAGAAACAUGCAUGCGUUUCUUUUUUCUUUUUUCUUUUUUCUUUUUAAAUUAUUCUGUAGAAUAUUGUGUAUUUUCUUCUAAUCUCUUCAUGUCUCUCCUCUCAAUAGGUGUGUGUGUGUGUGUGUGUAUAUAUAACUACAUUUAUCCUUUCAGUAUUCUUACCAUCUUAUCAUUUGUAGAUUUGAAAUUUUAGAGGAAGAAAAAAAAUGGUGCUAAAGGGAUGAGCAUUUUUUUGUCGUUGAUUGUUAUGAGACCUGAAAUAAGCGUACGGUUUGUUGUAAUACA
Molecule: RNA transcript, 6054 nt
Organism: Asparagus officinalis (garden asparagus)
Lineage: Eukaryota; Viridiplantae; Streptophyta; Magnoliopsida; Asparagales; Asparagaceae
Exons: 18
Source: RefSeq, a predicted model, not a curated record